CUAAGUAAGGCAUCAGUUUGGUUUUCUAGAGUGGUCCUACAAGCUGGGAUGUAAUUUGGGAGGCCUCUUUGCCUUUGGGAGCGUGUGAAUACAUGUUUCUGUGAGGUCACCAGAAGCUCAAGAGGCCUAGGUCAAAGGGCCUCUCCUCUCUGAGGGAGCUACCAUCAAGCGCCACGAGAUGACAGGACAUCCUGGUGGCCAGGGUCAUCCACGGAGGGCUGCUAGAGGGGAGUGGUAAGCUGCAGCAGCGGGGUAUAGGUGUGACCAGAGAAACAAGAAAGCUUGGUUGUGGGGCCCCUUUCCUGAGGACCCUCUUUCCUGACUUGGGUUGGGGCUCUCCUAAGUUCUUCUUUUUGGUUAAAACAGUAAAGGGAGGAGGAACAAGUGCUGCAGGGAAAGGCUGUGAGAAGAGCAGGCUUGGGGCACUGGCAGGCCAGCUUGGGGCAGGGAAAGUCUGAAGGGUCCUUGAAGUAUCCCGCUAAGGUACGGCAGAGGCAGCUGGGCAGUGGAGACUGGAACUCAGGGAAGAGUUUCAGACUAGAGAUAAAGACUGCAGAAUCACUAUUAUCUGUGCUGUUAUCCUGUUUACACAGGGUGAACUGAGUAUAAAGGUCGGGGGACAAGAGAGAAAUGGACACACGCUAAAACUAUGUGAGAGUGUGUGGGGUGUUAACCCAGGGAGACAGCCAAACAGUUUUCUUCUUUACAUUAAAGCUGAACUUAAAAACUUAACAAGCAUAAUCGCCAAACUUCCACCACAGUGUUAUAGGUGACUUCAGCAAGCACUGCAGGUAAUGUGGUGUCCAUCGGAGCUCCACUGCUGUGUGGAGUAGAAUCACCCACCUCCCAGGAUAACUGCUGUGCACAGAGUGUGGUAGGAACUGGUUUCUUUUCUCUAAAUUCCUGGAGGCAGCCGUAGACCUGCAGCAGAAGAAGGGUGGGAGAACUGACGUUGGUAAUGUGCCUACUGACAUUCUGGAUUAAGGCUCCCAGAGGGAAGAGGCAGCCUGGGCAGCUGCCAACACUACAACAUGGCACUGUUGGCCUUUAGUACGGUGUGUGUCUUUAGAGGCUGAGGAGGAAUGAAUUCCAGUUUGGUCUUCAGAGACGGUCUCACUAUGUAGCCCAGGCUGGCAUCGAAAUCAGUGAUCCUCCUGCCUCAGCCUCCCAAAUGCUGGAAUUACAGCCAUGCACCACUACACCAAGCCUCAUAUUUCAGGAAUUAAGCCUCUUCCAGAUGAAGAAAUAAGGUCCAUGGGGCCAGCUCAGCCCAGCCUUUUCCAUCCAGUUCUGUGAUGCUGCUGCUUCCAGCUCUACUAGCCACCAGCACUCAAGUUUACCUGAAAGUGCUCAAGGCUCACAGGGCAACAGCAGCUGCCCACUGGCCACAAAGGGGUUGACACCCUUCCCAGUGGUAACAGAUGUGCAGUUCUCAGUUGGUGGCAGAGCAGCAAACUCUUGGACGAAGGCCCAUCUCUUCCUCCUGUCUUCUCAAAAAGACACGCAGACCUCUUAUCACCUUAUCUACAGCUCAAGGCCUUUCUGGUACACUGUCCUGCUGGAAGCACAACCAUAAACAUCAUCCUAAACAGUGCAAGUGCUCCAGAAGGCUUGCAGGCUGCUAAAGGAGAAAAGAAUUUCGUUAAUGCCUCCUGCUGCCCCAGACCCGCUGCCAGGCCCUAUAAGAACCCCAGUCUCAGCCUGACUGCACGGCCCCUUGGCAGUGCACCUGGCCCAAAUAUACUCUUGUCUUUGCUACAUUCCUUGUCUCUUGGUAAAUUCUUUUACCAGCCCUGCCUUACUGGCCCUCUCCCCUCUCAGGGCAGGCAAUACCCAUAACGAAAUUAAAGUCCCUGUCUUAGCUGACCCCUGGGAAAAGGCCUAAUUGAAGUCAAGAAUUUUAAAACAGGUGGUCAGUCAGGCCUGUAACCCCAGAGCUCAGGAGGCUGAGACAGGCAGAUUGUCAUAAAUUUGAGGCCAGCCUGGGCUACACAGUGAGUUCAAGGCCAGUGUAAACUAUAUAGUGAGACCCUGUCCUAAAGAGCAAAAUAAAAUAAGUGAUGUCAGAACUUCUUCAUUCAUGGGAAAGAUGUUGGCAGUUUAAUUUUAAUGAAUAUAAUAUUAACAUGCAUCGUAAGACUGAGCAUAUUUCACCCUUAAGUGAAACACUGUAUUCAAGGUAACUUCAAGUGGAUCUUUCUUAGUAAUAUUUAUUCAGAGCAACAAAAUUAUAGUAGUAACAUCUGCCAUUGUGUAAUGAUGGUAUUUUAGCCAAAUUUGAAAAGAAGAAAUCUUCAGGGUAAGAUACACCCAAAGAAUUAUAGAUGUCUCAUUUCCUGACCUUAAAAAGAAGAAUAGUUGAGUGAGUUUGAGGCCAGCCUGGACUGCAUAGCAAGAUCCUAUCUCAUCCCCCCCCCCCCACUGAAAAAAAACUUUAAAGAAUAAAAAGAGGAACAAUUUAUUUUUUGGUGGGGGUACUGGGGAUUGAGCUCGGGACCUUGAGCUUGUGAAGCAUAUGGUGGCACCACUGAGCUAAAUCCCUAGCCCAAGAGGAACAAUUUUUAAAAGCACCUUAUUUGUCUAGACUUGGGCUCAAGAACAAAGGAGGGGAAUAGCUGAUAAGGUGCUGCUAGUGGCCACUGCGGUGCCUGCUUUGUGACCCCAGGGGCCUUCAAGAUUGGUGCAGAAAACAGCAGCAGCAUUCUUUCCACCUAACUCCUUCCUUCCUGAGCUAAAAACUGGCCACUUUCCUCUGAGGACCACACAGAAAUCCCCGUGAGUGACAGGGGAAGCCGUGGGGAAGCAGCUCCUCUGGUCUGAAUGUUUCUGUCCCACGAAAUUCCUCUGCUGAGAUCCUCAUCCCCAGGGUGGCUCUAGGAAGUGGGGACGUGGGAAGGAGGAGGUUGCCUAGUGGGGAGGAACACUCACCCCUUCCCACGUAUGGGCCAGGAAACCGCAGCAUGAGCCUUCAACAGACACCCACACAGCCAGUGCCCACCCUGGGCUUUCAGCCUCCAGGCCACGGGGAGAACAUUUCUGAUGCUCACAACCUGCUCAGUUUGUGGCACUGCCACAGCAGCCAGAAUGGAGCAGGACAGCUGUCCUCGCCACAAGAGGCAAAGCCCAAGCCAUGGCGCCUUGCUCACCUUCAG
Molecule: long non-coding RNA, 3152 nt
Filed under: Heterocephalus glaber (naked mole-rat)
Lineage: Eukaryota; Metazoa; Chordata; Mammalia; Rodentia; Bathyergidae
Description: lncRNA (ENSHGLG00100039378.1)
Source: RNAcentral